GCCGCGGUGCCCGAGCGGACCAAGGGGUCUGGCUCGAGACCAGAUCCCCGAUAAGGGGACCGGGGUUCGAAUCCCCGCCGCGGCG
Molecule: transfer RNA, 85 nt
Filed under: Candidatus Nanopusillus sp.
Lineage: Archaea; Nanobdellati; Nanobdellota; Candidatus Nanoarchaeia; Nanoarchaeales; Nanopusillaceae
Description: tRNA-Ser
Rfam family: tRNA
About the family: Transfer RNA (tRNA) molecules are approximately 80 nucleotides in length. Their secondary structure includes four short double-helical elements and three loops (D, anti-codon, and T loops).
Source: RNAcentral